GUCAGUGUCAGUGGAGGUUUCAUAAAAAAUUCAUAACCGUUAAAUAAAAUACCAUAUCAACAAUUUUACUGACAUGACAAAGUCAUUAUGAUGAAAGAGGAGAGGAAGUUUCAUCAUACAUGAGAGGAGUUUCAUCAUCAUGAAACCUAACAGGCACAGUUACAAGUUCUCAGCUUUGGUAACUGCGUCAUGAAAUUGUGCACUGAGAUCGGUUUAUAGAUUUUUACUAUGUACAUAAAUGUACUAUAUUAUAUCUACAUGUAUAGUAAAUAGUAUAAAAAAUCCAAAGCAACUUAUAAUUUGGAAUAGAUGAAAGUUGAUGUAGAGCUGUUUUAAACCCAAAUAAAGUUUCAAAUACGUACCAAUUCGAGAGAAUCAAUAUUCAACUCAUGUCUCCUUCUAAGGGCUUGUUUGGGACUGCUUCACUAAAAAAAUAGUUCCACUCCACCAAUCCCACCUUUUUGUAGCUCCACUCCACCAACUCCAAGAAAAUAGGAAGUAUUGACGCCGGAUUUUGACACGUGCUUGGAAUUGGCGUCAAAGGAGGAGAAAGGGGGCCGAUGCGGCGAGCUAAAGCUACAGUUGGGAAUCGACCGAUUAAGGCUACAGUGUUUCAGCCGACUGGCAAAAGGAGUUGGUAGAGGUUAGCCGAUUGGGAGCCAGAGCGACUUGGUUAGUAUGAGCCCAAAGGUGGGCCAGGAUGAAGAUCAGCUGAAGAGAGAGAUUGGCCCGUGGGAAGGUAGUAACCGACUUUGAUACGAGUUGUGUUUGUAAAUGUUUGUUAUCGUUUAAAAUUAGAGACAGAUCCUAGUCAGUUAGGAAAUUAGUUGUAAUAGGGUAUAAAUAGCUGCCUCGUGAGACUUGUAAAAAUCAUCACACAAUCAAUACAGUAACUUUUUCCUCGUACCUUACUUUCAAGUCGGCGACUUCGCCAAAACCUUUCUUUUUCACGAGUUCGUACGGGUUGGUAGGGCUGCAUUGACACGAUCUCCGGCCAAUUCUAUAAGUUCUGCUUAUCGAGUAAUAUCUAAGCUUUAACUUCGGGCGCAUCGUUGUCGUUUCGUUUAGAU
Molecule: long non-coding RNA, 1070 nt
Filed under: Setaria viridis
Lineage: Eukaryota; Viridiplantae; Streptophyta; Magnoliopsida; Poales; Poaceae
Description: long non-coding RNA (SVIR_LNC002602)
Source: RNAcentral